This is a non-coding RNA of Zootermopsis nevadensis, 523 nucleotides long. Lineage: Eukaryota; Metazoa; Arthropoda; Insecta; Blattodea; Termopsidae. The record is from RefSeq and is a predicted model, not a curated record.
CUUUCUUCUAGGACCAUGUGGAACAGGGUGCGAUCUCCCACAGCAACAUAAGCAUAAGAAGCAUGUCAGUGAGAGUGAUUAUAUCAACCACAAGGAACCAGCAAAAGGAAUGGAAUUCACUCAUGAUCAUAAAAUCAUAUUCUGAUUGUCCAUUGAAGCAUUAUGGUUUUGCAAGUGAUACACAGCAGUAAACACGCCCAAGUACAACACAUUAUAGCUGACCAGUGCAACAAAAUAAACAAAGCACAAGAUUCUCAGUAAGCAGCAAAACCGGACGCAUUCAAACUGCAGGGACAAGAGUAUGCUUUUACUUACUAAAGUGCCAGUAUGAUGGCUACAUUUCAUCAUCCAACACCCUGUAAACACCAACAACAGUAGUAAUAAUAAUAAGGAUAAUAGAUAUCACACCCAGUCAAGAUAAUAAACAAUCUUUCAGAAUGCUGUCAAUCAACCACAAAAAAACACAUUUAUUAUUUUCAUCUCAUCCUAAUGUAAAUAAGAACAUUUAUUUACAAUUUCUUAA